RNAcentral lists this long non-coding RNA (677 nucleotides) under Astyanax mexicanus (Mexican tetra). RNAcentral's name for it is "lncRNA (ENSAMXG00005007568.1)". The record is from RNAcentral. Lineage: Eukaryota; Metazoa; Chordata; Actinopteri; Characiformes; Acestrorhamphidae.
GUACUGUCUAAUUAAAUGUAAAAUUUAUAAGAAGUAAGGUGUAAGGUGUAGUUGUUUUCCCAGGUGAGGGAGGACCCUGUCCUGCAGGUCAAUAUUGUCCACGAGGCUCUACUGACCCCCAGCCGUGUCCAGAGGGGACUUUUAGUAACAGGAGCAAAUUAACUUCAAAGGACGAGUGUGUUCUCUGCACUCCCGGUCAUUACUGUGACGUAUCUGGGCUGACGGCUCCAACAGGACAGUGCAGGGAGGGUUUUUACUGCAGACACGGAGCUUCAGUCCCCAACGCUUUAAUCAGAGACAGCAGAGGAGGACCCUGUCCUACAGGUUAUUUUUGUCCUAGAGGCUCCAGCGCUCCUCAAGACUGUCCACAAGGAUCCUUCACCAGCAGCGAGGGCCAGGCCAGCUGCAGCCUCUGUCCCCAGGGUUAUUACUGUCCUUCAAACGGCUCUUUAGCUGAAGGAAUCGACUGCCCUCCAGGUCAUUACUGCCCAACAGGAACAUCCUCAAAAAAUCAGUAUCCCUGUCCACCAGGCACAAUCAAUCCAUAUACAAGGAUGGGCAGUGUAGAGGACUGUGCACCCUGCUCCCCAGGUACACUGCUUCAUACCACACAGCAUUACACUGAUACAGAUACCUGUAAACACAGAGAGAGAGAGAGAGAGAGAGAGAGAGAGAAA